Molecule: ribosomal RNA, 1811 nt
Filed under: Campylobacter lari
Lineage: Bacteria; Pseudomonadati; Campylobacterota; Epsilonproteobacteria; Campylobacterales; Campylobacteraceae
Description: partial 23S ribosomal RNA
Rfam family: Bacterial large subunit ribosomal RNA
Source: RNAcentral
UAUAUUUUUACUGAUUUUUAUAGAGUAAAGAUAGAAAUAAAACUUAGUAAAAUCAGUAAAAAUAUUCUUAGAUUAAAGUUAAGUAGUUUAAGUUGUGUGCAAGUGGUAGGAGAGCGUUCUAUUUGCGUCGAAGGUAUACCGGUAAGGAGUGCUGGAGCGAAUAGAAGUGAGCAUGCAGGCAUGAGUAGCGAUAAUUAAUGUGAGAAUCAUUAACGCCGUAAACCCAAGGUUUCCUACGCGAUGCUCGUCAUCGUAGGGUUAGUCGGGUCCUAAGUCGAGUCCGAAAGGGGUAGACGAUGGCAAAUUGGUUAAUAUUCCAAUACCAACAUUAGUGUGCGAUGGAAGGACGCUUAGGGCUAAGCAAGCUAGCGGAUGGAAGUGCUAGUCUAAGGAUGUAGGAGCUUAUACAGGCAAAUCCGUAUAAGAAUACUCCGAGAUCUUAAAGGCUCUUUGAAGUCUUCGGAUGGAUAGGAGAAUUGCUGAUGCCGUCGAGCCAAGAAAAGUUUCUAAGUUUAGCUAAUGUUGCCCGUACCGUAAACCGACACAGGUGGGUGGGAUGAGUAUUCUAAGGCGCGUGGAAGAACUCUCUUUAAGGAACUCUGCAAAAUAGCACCGUAUCUUCGGUAUAAGGUGUGGUUCGCUUCGUAUUAGGAUUUACUCCGAAAGCGAAGAAACUUACAACAAAGAGUCCCUCCCGACUGUUUACCAAAAACACAGCACUCUGCUAACUCGUAAGAGGAUGUAUAGGGUGUGACGCCUGCCCGGUGCUCGAAGGUUAAUUGAUGGGGUUAGCAUUAGCGAAGCUCUUGAUCGAAGCCCGAGUAAACGGCGGCCGUAACUAUAACGGUCCUAAGGUAGCGAAAUUCCUUGUCGGUUAAAUACCGACCUGCAUGAAUGGCGUAACGAGAUGGGAGCUGUCUCAAAGAGGGAUCCAGUGAAAUUGUAGUGGAGGUGAAAAUUCCUCCUACCCGCGGCAAGACGGAAAGACCCCGUGGACCUUUACUACAGCUUGACACUGCUAUUUGGAUAAGAAUGUGCAGGAUAGGUGGGAGGCUUUGAGUAUAUGACGCCAGUUGUAUAUGAGCCAUUGUUGAGAUACCACUCUUUCUUAUUUGGGUAGCUAACCAGCUUGAGUUAUCCUCAAGUGGGACAAUGUCUGGUGGGUAGUUUGACUGGGGCGGUCGCCUCCCAAAUAAUAACGGAGGCUUACAAAGGUUGGCUCAGAACGGUUGGAAAUCGUUCGUAGAGUAUAAAGGUAUAAGCCAGCUUAACUGCAAGACAUACAAGUCAAGCAGAGACGAAAGUCGGUCUUAGUGAUCCGGUGGUUCUGUGUGGAAGGGCCAUCGCUCAAAGGAUAAAAGGUACCCCGGGGAUAACAGGCUGAUCUCCCCCAAGAGCUCACAUCGACGGGGAGGUUUGGCACCUCGAUGUCGGCUCAUCGCAUCCUGGGGCUGGAGCAGGUCCCAAGGGUAUGGCUGUUCGCCAUUUAAAGCGGUACGCGAGCUGGGUUCAGAACGUCGUGAGACAGUUCGGUCCCUAUCUGCCGUGGGCGUAAGAAGAUUGAAGAGAUUUGACCCUAGUACGAGAGGACCGGGUUGAACAAACCACUGGUGUAGCUGUUGUUCUGCCAAGAGCAUCGCAGCGUAGCUAAGUUUGGAACGGAUAAACGCUGAAAGCAUCUAAGCGUGAAGCCAACUCUAAGAUGAAUCUUCUCUAAGCUCUCUAGAAGACUACUAGUUUGAUAGGCUGGGUGUGUAAUGGAUGAAAGUCCUUUAGCUGACCAGUACUAAUAGAGCGUUUGGCUUAUCUUU